This 467-nucleotide ribosomal RNA is filed under the name uncultured bacterium. RNAcentral describes it as "partial 16S ribosomal RNA". It matches the Rfam family "Bacterial small subunit ribosomal RNA", at positions 29 to 507 of the family's 1533-position model. The record is from RNAcentral.
ACGAACGCUGGCGGCGUGCUUCACACCUGCAAGUCGCACGGAAAGGCCCUGCUUUUGUGGGGUGCUCGAGUGGCGAACGGGUGAGUAACACGUGAGUAACCUGCCCUUGACUUUGGGAUAACUUCAGGAAACUGGGGCUAAUACCGGAUAGGAGCUCCUGCUGCAUGGUGGGGGUUGGAAAGUUUCGGCGGUUGGGGAUGGACUCGCGGCUUAUCAGCUUGUUGGUGGGGUAGUGGCUUACCAAGGCUUUGACGGGUAGCCGGCCUGAGAGGGUGACCGGCCACAUUGGGACUGAGUUACGGCCCAGACUCCUACGGGAGGCAGCAGUGGGGAAUAUUGCACAAUGGGCGGAAGCCUGAUGCAGCAACGCCGCGUGCGGGAUGACGGCCUUCGGGUUGUAAACCGCUUUCGCCUGUGACGAAGCGUGAGUGACGGUAAUGGGUAAAGAAGCACCGGCUAACUACGUG